CUACGGGAGGCAGCAGUGGGGAAUCUUAGACAAUGGGCGCAAGCCUGAUCUAGCCAUGCCCGCGUGUGUGAUGAAGGUCUUAGGAUCGUAAAGCACUUUCGCCAGGGAUGAUAAUGACAGUACCUGGUAAAGAAACCCCGGCUAACUCCGUGCCAGCAGCCGCGGUAAUACGGAGGGGGUUAGCGUUGUUCGGAAUUACUGGGCGUAAAGCGUACGUAGGCGGAUCAGCAAGUAGAGGGUGAAAUCCCGGGGCUCAACCCCGGAACUGCCUUGUAAACUGUCGGUCUUGAGUUCGAGAGAGGUGAGUGGAAUUCCAAGUGUAGAGGUGAAAUUCGUAGAUAUUUGGAGGAACACCAGUGGCGAAGGCGGCUCACUGGCUCGAUACUGACGCUGAGGUACGAAAGUGUGGGGAGCAAACAGGAUUAGAUACCCUGGUAGUCCACACCGUAAACGAUGAAUGCCAGUCGUCGGGCAGUAUACUGUUCGGUGACACACCUAACGGAUUAAGCAUUCCGCCUGGGGAGUACGGUCGCAAGAUUAAAACUCAAAUGAAUUGACGGA
Molecule: ribosomal RNA, 561 nt
Filed under: uncultured bacterium
Lineage: Bacteria
Description: bacterial SSU rRNA
Rfam family: Bacterial small subunit ribosomal RNA
Source: RNAcentral